RNAcentral lists this ribosomal RNA (275 nucleotides) under uncultured Fusibacter sp. Its description in RNAcentral is "partial 16S ribosomal RNA". It matches the Rfam family "Bacterial small subunit ribosomal RNA", at positions 1111 to 1382 of the family's 1533-position model. The record is from RNAcentral. Lineage: Bacteria; Bacillati; Bacillota; Clostridia; Eubacteriales; Fusibacteraceae.
ACAGUUGCCAUCGGUAAGGCCGGGCACUCUGGAUGGACUGCCGGCGACAAGCCGGAAGGAAGGUGGGGAUGACGUCAAGUCAUCAUCGGCCCUUAUGUCCAGGGCGACACACGUGCUACAAUGGCCGGCACGAACGGGAAGCGAAGGAGCGAUCCGGAGCGAAUCCUAAAAAAGCCGGUCCCAGUUCGGAUUGCAGGCUGAAACUCGCCUACAUGAAGUUGGAGUUGCUAGUAAUCGCGAAUCAGAAUGUCGCGGUGAAUGCGUUCCCGGGUCUU